Molecule: long non-coding RNA, 2605 nt
Organism: Mesocricetus auratus (golden hamster)
Lineage: Eukaryota; Metazoa; Chordata; Mammalia; Rodentia; Cricetidae
Exons: 3
Source: RefSeq, a predicted model, not a curated record
CUGAGGAUCUUACAAGGCUUGGAGGUCAAGCAGCCAGGUACCGAGACAAAGACCUAGAGCAGCUGGCCACUCCGAAGCAGACCAGGUUGGAUUUGAACUUGCAAUUCUGUGAAGAGCUGCUGGAUCAGUGGUUCUCAACCUAUGGGUCACCUAAGACCACAUGCAUAUCAGCCCAAAGUGGAAGGCUUGGGGAGAUGAAGCAUCCGGAUACAUGGAGACAAAUGCUACCAUGAAGUGGGCUAUCAGGCUCUCCAGGUACCAGGAGGUGGUGCUGAGGACAGCAGAGGACUCCGGUGACUCCCAGACUUCCUGGGAGUUCUUGUUUCCCAAGCAGCCAUCACUAUCAUCUCGAGGCAACAGGAGUAGAAAUGGAAAGGACCAGACUUGGCCUCACCUGCUGAAGUUGGCUGCCCAGAGACUGACCCAGCAGGUUCAAGAGUGGGGUGCUUAUUUUGGGGGCAUGGGGUGGGGGUGGGUGGAGCCAUCUGUGGUUGAAGGCAGUAAGGUAUGUAGGCCAGAGGUUUCCUAGGAGACUUGCUUGGCCUUUCCUGUCUGGGCCCCUCCAGAUGCUACUGUUCAAUGCCACAGCAUAAGGUUAAGGUUAGCCUGGUGCUCUUACAGAGUUCUGCCUCUCGGCUGGUCCCCUCUUCAGGACAAUGGCACAGCCUCUAUUUGCUAGGUCCCCCACGAUCCACCCAAGCUCUCUUAUAGCUUCCACUUACAUGUUCUGGGCUAGUCCUCCAAAUGUGUCUGGUGAGAAUCUUAUAGUGUGACCAGUAUGACCUCACUCUUCCAUGGGGACUUCAAGGCUGACCUCCCAUGCCCAGUCACCCAUCUGCAAGCCCAUUCAUUUGCCACUGUGCUCAGCGCAGCCCCAGAUCCUUACAUUCAGCCUGGGCGAUGAUGGAGAUGGCGGAUGGCCCGCCCUCGGAACCUUCCUUGGCUGUGCCUUUAGUAAUAACGUCAUUCAGGAUCUCCCACUUCCCACAGAACACGGGGCUCUUCUCCACAGCCUCAAGCUUGUAGAUGCAGCUCUGUUUCUUCCCUAGUGACUGUGUCUUCUCCUUGGCUUUAGCGAGCUCCUUCUGCUGCCCAACUGCUGAGCCAGGAGAGCCUGGGCAGGCCACUUCCAUCACUGCCAUCUCCUAGGCUCGUGCUCACCUUGAGGGGGUCAAACACAGACCAGGUCACUCCAAAUCCCAGACCCCAUGUAGACGUUAGGCACAGGUUGGAGGGGAAAUACAUGUGUGUGUGGGGGGCACACUGGAAGGUUCCUGAUUCUUUAUGUCAAGUGUAUCAUUCUCCAAACACCCUGAGUAGUGAUGAAGCCAACCUCACAACAUUUACAAGCAUUUCAUUUGUGGGACCCCUGGUCUACUGCACUGCAGUGUAAAUGGAUUGCUCUGCUGGGCCUGCAGAGAGACGGGAGUCAUUUUCCUCAGUGGUGUAGCCACUGGUACAUUGUCCAUGCUCCAAUUAAUAAACCCACACCCAUGCUCAUGCAAACGAUCCUAGUUAAUCUCAUGCAGCAUGUGCGUGCAUGUACACACACACCAGAGAGAGGGAGAGGGAGAGAGAGAGAGAGAAGCAAGAGGGAGGGGGAGAGGAAACGAGAGAGAUAAGAAGAUAACGGGUGAGCUGAACAGAUGGCACAGUUAGAGCACUUGCUACUCUUGCAGAGGACAAGGAUUUGGUUCUGAGCACCCAAAGGCAGCUCACGACUAUUUGGAACUACAGUUCCAGGGAUCCAGUGCCCUCUUCUGGCCUCCAUGGGCACUGCACACAUAUAUACAUAAAGGCUAAACAUUCAAUACACAAAAAUAAUUUUAAUUUUUAAAUUACUAUAUUAUUUUUUUUGAGACAAGGUUUCUCAGUGUCGUCCUGUCUGUCUUGGAUCUUACUCUGUAAGGCUGUCCUUGAACUCACGGACAUCUACCUGCCUCUGCCUCCUGAGUGCUUAAAGGUGUGUGCCACCAUCACCACUGGCCUAAAUAUAUUUCUUUUAAAAGAGGGCAAUGGUGUGAAUAUUAUCAAAAUACAUUAUAUGCAUAUAUGAAAUCAUCAAAGAGCAAAAUAAAAAUAGGUUUUAAAGAAGAGUCCACCUUCCCCUGCGGACAGCUGUGACAUGGAAUUGGAACUGGACUUUUGCCUCUACAAUGACUAAGCCUCCUCCUAUUGUUUGGAAAACUUUGUUUCCUCAGGACAGGGCAGUGAAUCUUAUCUUCUAUUGCCAUCACCUCACAGACCCCAGGGAUACCUUGCCUUCACAGAAGGCACUAGAGUGGCUCUUUUUCCAAAGGAGAAAUCAAGGUUUGGAUUUGUUUAAAUCAGGGACAGAUACAUGUAGUCACGUGCCAUUUAAUGAUGGGGAUACAUUUUGAGAAAUGUGUCUCCAGGAAAUUUUAGCAUUGUGUGAGUGUCACAGAGUGCAUUAUGACAUCAUCAGGGGAGACAAAGCGGUAUGGACCCAGCGGUACAUGCAGUCUCAUUGUGGUCAAAACACUGUCAUGAAAUGCAUGGCUUUAUAUGAAUAUGUGUGCAUAAAUGUUACAAUGCUAUUAUUCAGCCUAAAAAUGGGGCUCAACACUUGGCUCCUUUCCAAUGA